GUACCACCAGUGCUCCCAGUGUCUCCAGAGCUCCCAGUAUCCCCAGUACCACCAGUAUGACCAGUAUCACCAGUGCUCCCAGUGUCUCCAGAGCUCCCAGUAUCACCAGUACCACCAGUAUGACCAGUACAACCCAGUACCACCAGUGUCAGCAGUAUCACCAGUGCUCCCAUACAACCCAGUGCUCCCAGUAUCACCAGUGCCACCAGUAUGACCAGUACAACCCAGUACAGCCCAGUGCCACCAGUAUCACCAGUGCUCCCAGUAUCACCAGUACCACCACCAGUAUGACCAGUACAACCCAGUACGGCCCAGUACCACCAGUAUGACCAGUGCUCCCAGUACCACCAGUGCUCCCAGUAUCACCAGUACCUCCAGGAUGACCAGUACAACCCAGUACAACCCAGUGCCACCAGUACCACCAGUAUCACCAGUAUGACCAGUAUCACCAGUGCUCCCAGUGUCUCCAGAGCUCCCAGUACCACCAGUAUCACCAGUAUGACCAGUACAACCCAGUGCCUCCAGUGCUCCCAGUACAACCAGUACCACCAGUGCCACCAGUAUCA
This 566-nucleotide long non-coding RNA is filed under the name Gallus gallus (chicken). Its description in RNAcentral is "lncRNA (ENSGALG00010009773.1)". Lineage: Eukaryota; Metazoa; Chordata; Aves; Galliformes; Phasianidae. The record is from RNAcentral.